GAGGGGUAUAUGCGCGGGUAUCGAGAACCAAUCUUGCUCUAGUCGGAUGUUCUGAUCUUUGAAAGGGGGCGACACGUCAAAAAGGAUAUCCUUUCUCCUUAGUUCUCCUAAAGGAAUGACCAAUUUGAAUACCCACGAAACCAGCUCUAAAUCUGCCAAAUCUGCCUCAACUGCAGUUGGACCAGUUAUCUGCGGCUGUUUCGAGCAGACAUGGUACUGGGAAUCGCAAUAGAAGGCAACAAACUAACCGCCAACAAGUUGAUGCGUGGAAUUACAUAGAUAGAUCCCAAGGUGGCAGAGGGUUGAAUAGUCGUGUCUAUUUUACCAAUUGGCCUGGGACUCCGAUGCUCAAGAGUAUUAUAUACCAGAAAAAGCAGUCCACAAACAUUAAACAAGAGGCAAACAUGUUCCACAAGAAGAAAAAGGUCCAAGACAACUAGCCUACGUUCACUAGCGUCAUUCCAUGUGUGGCAUGAAGGAAGCCGUGUGUAGAGUGGC
This 498-nucleotide small RNA is filed under the name Histoplasma capsulatum. Its description in RNAcentral is "hypothetical RNA". RNAcentral also lists the same sequence under 1 other name. Lineage: Eukaryota; Fungi; Ascomycota; Eurotiomycetes; Onygenales; Ajellomycetaceae. The record is from RNAcentral.